UACGUAGGGGGCAAGCGUUGUCCGGAUUUAUUGGGCGUAAAGAGCGUGUAGGCGGCUUUACAGGUCCGUUGUGAAAACUCGAGGCUCAACCUCGAGACGCCGGUGGAAACCGUAAGGCUAGAGUCCGGAAGAGGAGAGUGGAAUUCCUGGUGUAGCGGUGAAAUGCGCAGAUAUCAGGAAGAACACCGGUGGCUAAGGCGGCUCUCUAGUACGGUACUGACGCUGAGACGCGAAAGCGUGGGGAGCGAACAGG
RNAcentral lists this ribosomal RNA (253 nucleotides) under uncultured bacterium. RNAcentral describes it as "partial 16S ribosomal RNA". It matches the Rfam family "Bacterial small subunit ribosomal RNA", at positions 524 to 776 of the family's 1533-position model. The record is from RNAcentral.